GAUGAACGCUGGCGGCGUGCCUAACACAUGCAAGUCGAGCGAUUUACUUCGGUAAAGAGCGGCGGACGGGUGAGUAACGCGUGGGUAACCUGCCCUGUACACACGGAUAACAUACCGAAAGGUAUGCUAAUACGAGAUAAUAUACUUUUAUCACAUGGUAGAAGUAUCAAAGCUUUUGCGGUACAGGAUGGACCCGCGUCUGAUUAGCUAGUUGGUAAGGUAACGGCUUACCAAGGCGACGAUCAGUAGCCGACCUGAGAGGGUGAUCGGCCACAUUGGAACUGAGACACGGUCCAAACUCCUACGGGAGGCAGCAGUGGGGAAUAUUGCACAAUGGGCGAAAGCUUGAUGCAGCAACGCCGCGUGAGCGAUGAAGGCCUUCGGGUCGUAAAGCUCUGUCCUCAAGGAAGAUAAUGACGGUACUUGAGGAGGAAGCCCCGGCUAACUACGUGCCAGCCGCCGCGGUAA
This 468-nucleotide ribosomal RNA is filed under the name uncultured bacterium. RNAcentral describes it as "partial 16S ribosomal RNA". It matches the Rfam family "Bacterial small subunit ribosomal RNA", at positions 28 to 523 of the family's 1533-position model. The record is from RNAcentral.